Molecule: ribosomal RNA, 253 nt
Filed under: uncultured bacterium
Lineage: Bacteria
Description: partial 16S ribosomal RNA
Rfam family: Bacterial small subunit ribosomal RNA
Source: RNAcentral
UACGUAGGGGGCGAGCGUUAUCCGGAUUCACUGGGUGUAAAGGGAGCGUAGACGGCCGAUCAAGUCUGGAGUGAAAGCCCGGGGCCCAACCCCGGGACUGCUCUGGAAACUGGUGGGCUAGAGUGCUGGAGAGGUAAGCGGAAUUCCUAGUGUAGCGGUGAAAUGCGUAGAUAUUAGGAGGAACACCAGUGGCGAAGGCGGCUUACUGGACAGUAACUGACGUUGAGGCUCGAAAGCGUGGGGAGCAAACAGG